Molecule: ribosomal RNA, 207 nt
Filed under: uncultured bacterium
Lineage: Bacteria
Description: partial 16S ribosomal RNA
Rfam family: Bacterial small subunit ribosomal RNA
Source: RNAcentral
CGCGUAGGCGGUUUUGUUAGUCGGAUGUGAAAUCCCCGGGCUUAACCUGGGAACUGCAUUCGAUACUGCAUGACUAGAGUAUGGUAGAGGGAAGUGGAAUUCCGGGUGUAGCGGUGAAAUGCGUAGAUAUCCGGAGGAACACCAGUGGCGAAGGCGACUUCCUGGGCCAAUACUGACGCUGAGGUGCGAAAGCGUGGGGAGCAAACA